Molecule: ribosomal RNA, 320 nt
Filed under: uncultured eukaryote
Lineage: Eukaryota
Description: partial 18S ribosomal RNA
Rfam family: Eukaryotic small subunit ribosomal RNA
Source: RNAcentral
CCCCUAGAUGUUCUGGGCCGCACGCGCGCUACACUGAACAGUUCAACAAGUCUUAACCUUGGCCGAUAGGUCUGGGUAAUCUUUGAACGCUGUUCGUGAUUGGGAUAGACCUUUGCAAUUAUGGGUCUUCAACGAGGAAUUCCUAGUAAACGCAAGUCAUCAGCUUGCAUUGAUUACGUCCCUGCCCUUUGUACACACCGCCCGUCGCACCUACCGAUUGAAUGGUCCGGUGAAAUCUCGGGACGGCGGCUUGGUCGCUUGCGUCCGACUGCUGAAACUUGAUUAAACCAUAUCAUUUAGAGGAAGGUGAAGCCGUANCA